RNAcentral lists this ribosomal RNA (415 nucleotides) under uncultured bacterium. RNAcentral's name for it is "bacterial SSU rRNA". It matches the Rfam family "Bacterial small subunit ribosomal RNA", at positions 362 to 776 of the family's 1533-position model. The record is from RNAcentral.
UUUUGCGCAAUGGGGGAAACCCUGACGCAGCAACGCCAUGUGUGGGAUGAAGCAUUUCGGUGUGUAAACCACUGUCAGCAGGGAAUAAACGACAGCUUCGGGCUGUUUUGAAUGUACCUGCAAAGGAAGCCCCGGCUAACUUCGUGCCAGCAGCCGCGGUAAUACGAGGGGGGCAAAUGUUGUUCGGAAUUACUGGGCGUAAAGGGAGCGUAGGCGGGUUUCUAAGUAAGGUGUUUAAUCCCGGGGCCCAACCCCGGACAGGCACUUUAAACUGGAAGUCUUGAAUAGUGGAGAGGUCAGUGGAAUUGGGGGUGUAGCGGUGGAAUGCGUAGAGAUCCCCAAGAACACCAGUUGCGAAGGCGGCUGACUGGACACAUAUUGACGCUGAGGCUCGAAAGCAUGGGGAGCAAACAGG